UACGUAGGGGGCUAGCGUUGUCCGGAUUUAUUGGGCGUAAAGAGCGUGUAGGCGGCCAGGUAGGUCUGCUGUGAAAACUCGAGGCUCAACCUCGAGAUGUCGGCGGAAACCAUCUGGCUAGAGUCCGGAAGAGGAAAGUGGAAUUCCUGGUGUAGCGGUGAAAUGCUUAGAUAUGACAUAGAACACCAAUUGCGAAGGCAGCUGGCUACACGAAUAUUGACACUGAUGCACGAAAGCGUGGGGAUCAAACAGG
RNAcentral lists this ribosomal RNA (253 nucleotides) under uncultured bacterium. Its description in RNAcentral is "partial 16S ribosomal RNA". It matches the Rfam family "Bacterial small subunit ribosomal RNA", at positions 524 to 776 of the family's 1533-position model. The record is from RNAcentral.